Non-coding RNA from Rattus norvegicus (Norway rat), 10643 nucleotides. The record is from RefSeq and is a predicted model, not a curated record. Lineage: Eukaryota; Metazoa; Chordata; Mammalia; Rodentia; Muridae.
AGAAAAGAAAAGGAAGAGCCCAGAAGAUCAUGUGUGGAUCCCAGACAUUGAAACAAGAAGCGGUAACAUGGAAGUUGCCUUGGAGAACGCAAAAUGUUUGAGAUGCCAGAGCCGUGGGCUAUCUGCUGAGGAAAGCUCCUAACAGGGAGUGGAAUCAGAGCAGGAGAAAGAAGUUUGUUGCAGUCAACAAAGAUGAAAAAGGAGUUAGAGAUGUGAAGACCGUUUUGACAUCAGACAUGGAGAUGCAGAGUUUGGAAUUUGCCCGGUUGGUUUCCUGUCUUGCUUUAGGGAUUACAGUUUUAAGUGAUUGGAUGGAUCUCAGGAAAGACUUUGAACCUUGGACUUGUAACAUUGUUGAGACUGCCAUAGACUAUGUGGACCUUUGAAGUAGGACUAAAUGUAUUUUGCAUUAUGCUAAGUUUAGGUGUGACCCCCAUAGACUCACGUUUAAAUAAGCCUAUGGGGACCAGAGAAUCUGAUAGUUUCUAUAUGCUCAGCCAUGGGAGUGGCGCUCUUAGAGGGUGUGGCCCUGUUGGAGUAGGUGUGGCCUUGUUGGAAUGGGUGUGUCACUGUGGGCGAGAGCUUUAAGACCCUCGUCCUAGCUGCCUGGAAGUCAGUAUUCUGCUAGCAGCCUUCAGAUGAAGAUGUAGAACUCUUAGCUCCUCCUGCACCAUGCCUGCCUGGAUGCUGCCAUGUUCCUGCCUUGAUGAUACUGGACUGAACCUGUGAACCUUCAAGAUGGGAGCCAAGGAAUACCAUGAAGUCACACCACACAAAAAACUUCCCAUUAGAGAUUUAUUGGGAGAGAAAAAUCCAGGAAGAUGGCUUCCUGUGCUUGGGCAAGAAUCAGCCUAGAACUGUGCAAGACGCUAGCAUUUCUUGGGAGGGGGGAGGGGGGAGGCUGGACCUUCUCAGGGUGGCCUGGGAUUGGAGGGAUUAUGUGGCCUGAUCUUUAGGACAAACCUUAGGGAUGGGUGGGGGUUUGUUUGUUUUUCUUGUAGAGCAGGUCCAGGCCACUCUCUCUUGGGGCUGGGAACUGAGAACACCUAGAGCCCUUACAAAAUGGCCUUAGGGAAGCCUGGGUGAUGGAGCCUGGCCACUCUCUGUCUUAGGGCUGGGCACAGCAGUUUUCUGCCAGGUAAGGGAGUCUGGGAGGCGGGGAGCAGGACCCCACCCCCCACCCCCCCCACCAGCGCCUCAGACUGGGUGGUGGGGGUGGGGAUGGCUGAAGGAGAGGACUGGUUAUUUCUCAGCCUUGAGGGUUUAUAUAAAAUAUAUAAAAUUUACAAAGGGAGUCUGGGGUAAGGAAAGCCUCCCUUGGCUGCUUAAGUUGGCAUGAAAAGCCAACAGAGAGAGAGGAGAGCUAGAGAGAUGGCAUGGGCUUUAUAAAGGGUACUCCAAGCAUGAUGACAGACGGUGGCCGUUGGAAAUUAUUUAACUAAGAUGGGUGAGGGGACGCACUUGGUUCAGGAACGCGGGUAGUUUUCCUAACAGAUACGCAGCCGCUUCUGAACCUCUGAACGCUUGCGUGGCAACAGAGCUGGAUUUGAUCUUGAUUCUUUCCCUGUGGGGGCUAAAGUUUAGCGCUUCGCUCGUGCAGGGGCUGGAAAUCUGGAGUACAGUAUGGAACUGUUCCAAAAAAUUCAGACUUGCCCUACGAUCCCCUCCUAGGCACCGCGUGUGAUCACCUAAAUGUUCUCUCUGGUCAGACAGCGGUUUCUUCCCUGGGGUUAGUCGAUACUAAACAGAUAACCGGCUGUCUACAAAUUGGGCCGCCGGGCUGACUUUCUAAGUAGCAGUUUUCUGAGAAAGCUGAGGUCAAAGGUUAAUUCAGACAAGUCUCCUCCCAGCCUGCCGCAGGCAACCAAUGUCAUUCAUCCCUGGGCCUUGCGGGUGAUCGGCCCCGUGAUCGGCCGGAAACCGAUGUGUGCUUCCCUAAGGCCUCAGCGAAGGAGCGGAGCCAUUGAAUGGGUUCGCGUCCGUUCAGAGAAGAAGGGACAGGGGCUAUAAGGAGGAUGUAAGCGGGGGUUUCUGGAAGGAUCCUUUCGGAUGCCUUUCUUCCCCGAUCCACUUCAGGACUUUUUUUCUCCGGAUGCGUUGGUGGUAAGAUGGUGGCUGGCUCGGUGUGGGAGCGCGGACUGUCGAGCUCUUCCCAGGAGGAGCGCGAACGGGGGAAGAGAGCAAGGUUGGUGGCUCUCUGGGACAGCCAGCCUACAGUACGACAGUACGAUCCGAUCUGAGAAGGUCGGCAGGCAGUACCUUUCAACAUUCGGGGCCCAAGGAUUCUUCGGUAAAUCAUCCCUAGUCGGCCACCAUGGUCUCAAAGCCAGUGAUGGGCUUGGGCUGUCCUGUCCUCAUGGUGGGGAGAAAGUGACAGAGUAAUUCACUUGGGCAGAGACAGGUGACAAACAAGAAAUACAAGAACGGUUGAUCAGGCGGUUUCAUCAGCCACACAGGUUCACGUGGAAGUCCCAGCCCCAACCCCACUCCACCCAGGGUCAGAAAGCAGGAGACAUGACCAAACUUGUUUGUUCUGCUGCUCAAAUUGGCGUUGCUGUCUGUCCUUUUUCAUUACUUGAAGGGUGGUCUGUCAGUCCUCAGUCAGUAGUUGUGUGUUAAAUGUUCCCGCUGUGAUGGUGGGAUCUUCUGCUCUGAUCAUAUCAAUGCCAACCCCCUAAGCACUCUUUUCACCCCAUCUGCUCCCAAGAACCUCUGCGAGCAGAGAACCUUGCUAUCUUGUUGGAGGCUCUAUCCACUGCAACUGAGCACCUGGUUCUCCUGGUGGGUGGUCUAGCCUUGUCUGCUGGUGGGUGGGCUAGCCUUGUCACGCAUCUCCCUUCAAAAGCCGAUAGUGACCGUCCUCUCUCUACACAUGGGUUGUGAAGGAAAAGUAGAUUUGUUUGUGACUUGGGAGGUAAUUUUGCUUUACUUAGAAAAGGGGACAAGUUAGGAACAGGGUAGCCUUGAACUUCUGAUCUUCCUGUUCCCACCUUCCAAGUGUACCCCCAGUUUAUAUUGGUUGUGGGCAGGGUGGUCCAUCUGACACACAUUUUUCCACCUCUGGAAUUUUAAUGCCUGUUUAAUAGUACCAACAAUGUUCCAAAUUGAUCGAAUCUACCUUGGAUUCUACAGGGAAAAAACAAAACAAAACAAACAAACAAACAAAAAAGGUUCUCACUUCACCAUGGCUAGAACAAAGGAGGAAUACUUGGGUCCCAGGCCCCAAAGACCUGCCAGUCUUCCCACUUCCUGAAACUCCCACCACCUCCUACCAGCCAAGCUGGGAGCAGGCUGGGUCUCUUCCCGCAUUCCAGGUCCCCAACAGGAGUAGCCUCUGAAAGCAGAUUAGCAUAAACUCUGAGAUCCUGGGGUGGGGGCUGGGAAGGCACACACCUGUAAUCUGCAGUGGGGAAUCAAGAGCCCCUGCUUCAAAAGACCGUACAAAGUGGGUCUGUGAGCCCCGUCUGGGCGGGGGUGCUUGCCUCCAAGAAGGACCACCCGAGUCUGAUCCUCAGAACUCACAGGCGGAAGGAGAGAACUGACUCCCAGAAGUUAACCUCUGACCUCUGACUUCCACGGAUAUGCUGUGGCACACACACACACACACACACACACACACACACACACACACACACACCUGCCCCCAAUACACAAAAUAAGUGAGUAGAAAUUGACCAAGAAUAAGUAAGGACUAGAAAAUGCACUGAAUUUGACUCAAUACAACGUUUCCCCAUCAGGCACACGUCUUGUGCUAGGUUCCCCUGCUAACUGCGGCCUUUGCUCUUUCUCACUCUGGCGUCUUUACUGCUCUUGUCAUCCGUGGGGUGGAGUUUUUGGAAGAUGUGUCUAGGCGUGGCCUCGUUUUCCUGUAUCUUCAGGUCUGGAAAACUGUUACGUUUUAUUUAUUUUGUAGUACUGGGGAUUGAACCCAGGGCUUCACAUAUGCUCAGUGAACACUCUGCCACUGACCUAUGUCCCCAGCCCGUUCUCCUAUUUAUUUAUCAACGGAUUGUAUAUGUGUAAGAGUGUGUGUGUGUGUGUGUGUGUGUGUGUGUGUAUGUAUGUGUGUGUGUAUGUGUGUGUGUAUGUGUAUGUGUGUGUAUGUGUGUGUGUGUAUGUGUGUGUAUGUGUGUAUGUGUGUGAGUAUGUGUGUGUGUAUGUGUGUGUUUAUGUGUGUAUGUGUGUGUGUGUGUGUGUCUUGGUGCAUGUGUCAAGGUCAGAGGACAACUUUUAGGAGCCAGUGCUCCCAUCUUGUCUCUGCCGCUGUACAGUGGACCACCGCCAGCUGACCUGUGACCCUCAGGUUCUGCCGCCCACCUCAGCACAGGCUCCCCGUGUUUAGAGAUUGAUGACAUCACAUCUGGCUCUUUAAAUGUGUGUUCCAGGGACUGAUCUCAGGCUAUCAGGUUUCUGUGGCAAAUGCUUUUACCUGCAAAGCCAUAUCCCCACCCCCACCCCUGCCGAGAUGCUCUCUGUCCCUCUCUUCUUAAGAGUCUACCCCUUGGGAUAUAUAUAUAUAUAUACAUAUAUGUGUAUAUAUGUAUAUGUAUAUAUAUUACGCUCUGUUCUUGUUUCAUGGAUAGAGUGCUCUGCUUAGUCUCUGAGGACCGUUGUUUUAAAGUCCGUUUGCUUUGUGAAAUGUUUGCCUUGUGGGUCUUGGGUUUUGUUGUUCGUCUGUGUGCCAGCGUUGGUGAUUGAAUGGGGCUGGGGUUCAUAGAUGGUUGGCAAGUGCCCAUCUCUGACACAGCUUUUGGGUUUUGAACUUCUUCCCUCCCUCCAUUUUUGUUUGUGUUUGGGGAUAAGGCCUUACUCUGUAGCCCAGGCUGGCCUUGAACUCAAGCUGAUCUUUUAUCAGCCCCUCAGGUAAAGUCCUGGGGUUACAGGUGUGCAUUGCCACACGCGGUUUUUGUGCUUCUCUGGACAUUAAUUUUCCUUAAGUGCCCAGUGACUUGUAACUUAGUACAUACAUGCCUGUGUUUGAAAGUUCUGCCUUCUGGUGGAUCAGGGUUCCCAUUUGAUGAAUCUGCCAGCCACAGCAGCAGAAAGAACCAUAGAAUGGGCAGGGCAUGGGCUAGGGGAAGAAGGCUGAGGGCACACACCCACGGUUUAAAACAAUUGUUGGGGAGGGAGGGCAGGACCUGCUGUUGCAGGAGGGGAUCCGUCUGUCCUCUCUGUUCAUAAAUGCAGCAUAUUCUUCCUCUAAGAACUUGGCUUCCUUCAUAGACAGCAUUUACAUCUCUUUCCUGUUCUCUCCUUUGGGCUUAUUUUUCCAUCAGACCCAAACCAUCCACUCUGUCUCUCAUAGAGUCCUGAAUCCCAUAGGCGUGGACCAUCCUGGUGCCCACACACACCACUGGGCUCCCAUCACAGGUUCUUCUUGCUUUCAGAUUUCCGUGUUUAGCAGGAGGGCAGGACCCUCUGAGUGUGAUCUCCACCAUCCACCAUCUCUCCCUUCUGGCCUGGAACCCUGAAAGGUUGCUACCCUAAACCACUCUGAAAACACAGUCAGUGCCUCCUUUUAGUCGGGAUACUUGUUUAGAGGGAAAAGAUCUAAUGUGAGGAUUUCUAGCCUCGGAAGGAAGUGAAGAUACGUCCUCAGAGGAGUGACUCAGGCAGCCUGGACCUCCCCAGCACAGGUUCAGCUGACACUGUUUUUGUGGCAUGGUAUGCUGGCAGGCACUGGCCAGGAGCAGCGCAGGCACGGGAGACAGUGACCUUUUGAUUCCUUGUUCUUAUAUAGGUCUCUUAAGAAUCCGGGUCCUUAUGAGCAGUACCACUCCUCUACCCCCAAGCUCCUUGUGCUUCCUUGAAAGGCUGUCUCUUUAGUCCUGGUGCCACCACACAGGAUCUGGAGUGCCCAGGGCUUGGCAGACAGCAAGUUCCUGACAACUGUGAGCUGUUCAUACUGAGACAUCUGCAGGCAAGUCAAAUAGGCCAGAACUCGGCCACAGGAGCCACCCCUGAGACAAUGCCGUAUUGUGUGGAGGAAAACACAACACCCUUAGCUUCCUACUGGGCCAGGUCAGUUUCUGACUGUUCUUGGGCACAUGGGCAGGUCUGUAGGGAGAUGACAUAGUGUGGCAGUGGUUUCAGAGAGAGAUGUGAUGAAAUUGGAAUGUGUGUCGGGACCUUGCUGCUUUAGGGGCCUCGGUACCCACCUUUAGUGACAGGGGACUUGUGCUACACCCCCCACCCUCCAGCCCCCACCCGGGCCCAGGCCACCUAGGCUCCUGCAAACAGCAGACAUGUAAUUAGAGGCUUCUGGGCUGGGCUGAGGCAGUACACAGGCAAGUCUGGUCCUGUGCUGGCCACUGUGGGUGCUUGCCCUACAGAGCUGGUAUUACUCAGCCGGCUGCAGGAGCUGUCAGCUGGCUGCUGCUGGGCCAAGAACCCUGAUCAAUGAGGGAGAAGAGACACUGUGUACAAGGACACUGGUUCAUCCAAGAACAUGAGGCUAGCCAGGAAUUCAGAAUAACAAAGUACGGCUUCCUGUGUGCUGUGCCUGAGGCGGUGCCAUGGCUAGGCCAGAGGAAGGCUUGGCGAGGGCCAGAAUGACACGACUCAUUCUGCCUUUCACAAGAGGGGAGUGGACAAGGCAUGCUGUCCCGGGGGAAGGCACCGGCUAACCCUCGUGAUUGUGAAGAAAUCCACGGGAGGCGGGUGAUUAGAUGUUUGCUAAGGAAUGAAGGUGCUGCCCGGAUCUGUGCUGUGCACUUUCCUAAGCAGUUCCAUUUAGCAGGAGCAGGAGGGGGAGCAGAUAUGUGGAUCCCUGUGGGUGAUUGCUACGGGCUUUUGUGCUUGGGGUUCCCGGGUGUCUGAACUUACAGGGCGAGAGAUGACAGCAUUCGAGAGGCACGCUAGCUAAGCCUCUAGCCUGACAGCUAGGAGACAGGUGCCAACUAGUACUCUAAGCACAUUCCUUCCCAUUCGUUCCCAGCCCCCCACUCCUUACCAAACCCCACCUGCUGCUAUGGGGCGGUGACUUUUGAGUCACGAGGUUGCUCUGAUGUAAGCUCAGGUACAGAAAAACACACACAGGUAUGUUUGCCUCUUCAGACUCCGAGUACACGCAUCUCGAAAGCUGAGGGGAGCUUGUCUAAACGUGUGGCAGCAGCAGAUUCCUCGUGGCUCAGGUACGAGUGUCCUGAAGUUGAAUCCGUGCGGGUGGAAAGAAGGCGAGGAAGCUCACGCCCUCACAAUAAGCAGCGCCAGGCACGCCUGAACCGUGUCUGUGUGGUUACAGGUAGUGAGAGGUGAGGCCAACAGUGUAGACAGAUUCUGCUCUCUUCGCCUUCACCCCUCAGAGCCUCGAAAGAAUGGAAUGACUCACCCCUCAGGGAGCAAAGGCGCCAGAACAUUCUGUCAAAUGACCUACACCACAAGGAAAACAAGUCCUGAAGUGCAUUUUUAGUUUGAAGAAGACUUACUGAAUAUAAGGGCAAGAAAGACCUCGAAGCUUGAGAGCUCAACUAAAAUUUCCAUUUUCUUUUUUUUUUUUUCGUCUCUUGUCUUUUUCUCGUUUCAAGUGUGGAACCUCAAGGCUCUGGCUCUUAGAAGGCUUCUUCAGGGUCCUCCCAGGAGCCGAGCCCACUCUAGAGCCAGCAUCAGGUCCAUCUUGUCAAGUACCAUGGGCAUCGUGCGUCUUUGCAUGACAGCUUUUUACAAAAUGCCUGACAGAACGGCCAAAUGCGUUUCCAGUUUUAAGUAUGACCAAGCAUCAGUCUGCAACUAAGCAAAGCAUUAUACAAGGAUCGUGCAGACAUCAGUUUCCCAUUUUGAUAAUUACGUAAGAUAUUAUACAGGGCUGUAAGGAGGGCUUAGCCAUUAAGAAUACUGGCUGUUCUUCCAGAGACCCGGGUUCAGUUCCCAGCACCCAUGUGGUAGCUCAUGGCUGUGGUAAUCACAGUCCCACACUAUCUUUGGGCCUCUGUGGGCACCAGGUACUGCAUGCAUGCGACACACAGACAUACACAGGCAAAAUACCCAGACACAUAAAAGUUGGGAAAAAAAGAAACUCAACUCGCUUGGUGCGCUGGCUUUCGGGCAGGCGGGCAAACGGGCAGGCGGGCUCCUGGAUGUCUCAGCAGUGCGCUAUCAGCGUGGUAGCUGAGUACAUUUCUUAGGCCAGGACAAACUGUGGAAAGGAUCUCCCAGAAGUCCAAGGGGGAAAAACCCAGAAAACCAGGUAAGGAAAUGAAGUUGGAGCUCAUGUGAGUACCCACGGCUCCCUGUGCCAGGCAAUACUCAGUACUAGGACAGGGACACAGGAGGUCCCAGCUACAGCUCGCUUUGGAAGAAGGGCGGUGCAGACUGCUUUCGGUCUGGAGCCUGCCUGUCAUUCCCACAACUCUGAAAGCCAUGGGUCUCUCCAUCCCCCGCUUGUCACUCUGGUGCCAGUUUUGGGCCCUGGCCCAUAGCUUUUAGUGUUUCUGCUAAUUUCACUUCUCUGAAAUGUUCUCCACACAACAGCCACUGUCAUCUUUCCUAAAACAAAUCACAUCGUGUUCCUCUCCCACUUAGGAUCUCUGAGUUGCACCCACUGCCCUUUUCCACUGCUCAGCCUACUCGCCUGUGGCCUUCAGCUUCUGGAACAUGCCCAGCUUCUUCCUGCUUCCUGGCCUCUCAGACUUGCCUUCAUCUGCUAACAUACCUUCUAAAUCACCACCCACCCCCACUCUGGACAUGAUUCCCAGGGUUAAGUUGCCCUUCAGUUGCCUGCUGAAUGCCUUUUUAACACUUCCAAAUCCUGUUGCUGUAAGCUCUCUUCCUCCCGGAUCCAGCAUGGCUGCCACUCAACAGGCUUCUGUUAUGGGAUGAAUUCCCAAGCUAGAGUGACACACAGGGCCACCAGCUUGGAUACAGCAGCCCAGCAGUCUGCAAGGCUCUCUGCAGUGCCUGGCCACGGGGAUUAAGGCCUCAGACAAGCAAGCAGUGAAGGUCACAAAGGGCCCAGAGUGACCCAGACUGAGUCCUAAAGCUCAAGAAGUCUGCACACAGAGUGUCCUACGGACUGCACAGCCUGGCCUUCCUCGUGUUACUGUUUCCACAGAAGCUCCAGAACCAAGUUUACUGUUUAUUGUUCCAGGUGAGAGCAAAAAAGGCUUGAUUUUUGCCAUACUUUUUUUCUUUUUCUUUUUUGAGACAGGGAUUCAUGUGGCCUAGGGGAACCAAAGAUGACGUUGUGAACUGCUGAUUCUCCAGCCACCAUCUCAAGUGCUGGACUUAUGGGCAUGCCCUGUUUACGUGAUACUCGGGACCAAGUCCAGAGUAAGCACUUCAACAACUGACCAAGUCUUCAGCCCAUACAUUUUUAUAACACCCAAGUAAAGUUGCUCAGAUUGUCAUUUAGAAAUCUACAAUAGUUUCAACAUGUAUUGAACCCCAAACACUGUCAUGCUUGAAAAAAUAACACCAAUUGCUUGAGACAUAAGAGUUUAGACAAGACAUUAACGGUGUCAUAAAUAAGUAAUAUAACUUUAUUAAAAUGAAAAGACAAUAUUCAAAAUAAUGCAACAAAAUGAACAAAUCCUUUGUCCAAUACUGUACACACAGUGCGGAGAUCAGUGCAUUUUCUAAAGCAUGUUUUAACCUUCAUUUAGUUCAUACUAAAAAUAAGCUUUAAAUAGCUCAAAUAAUGUCAUUCAGCAGUUUAAACUGAACAGCUUGUUGGGACAUGGCAGCGGUGUCCCUCUGUUAGCAAGCACCUUCUCUUUGUGCUUAUCUAUACAAGAUAAACAAUCAGAGGAUGUAAAAAUUGAACACAAGCUACACGUCUCACUGACUCUCAGGGCAGUGAGGCAGCCAGCUGUGAGUUUUCUAAGCAGGAAGAUGCUGAAGUGACCUCUGGCAUUAAGACGUUCUGUGCUAUUGGUCAGAAGUGUUUCACUUAAAAAGCAAACAAUCCCCAGGAAAUACUGAAUAGGAACCAACAACACAAGACCAGCUUGUGUUGUACUUUAAAGUCUCAAAAACAAAACAACAUCCCAUACACCCCACGAUAACUCUCAAUCAUGGCUAAUCACUGGGCUGGUCUAUAAAACUUAUACCCAACACUGACGGCCAGCACCACUCAACUGCACUCUUGAAAGCCUCUUCAGUGGACGGGAAAAGCAGGAAUAGCAUGGAAAAGUCACCAAUUCUGUCCAUUUCCAAGAGAGACAUACACAGGUGAUAGAUAACAUGGUCCAGAAACGGCUGUCCUCUCCUCUCAAGACAAACGCCCAGAGCGGCAAGUAUUAGGCCAUAGAACGAUUUCAACAAGACGUUACAGGCCUGGCGAAGAGCACGCCCUGUCGUGUAUGGAGAAGACUGCUGGCAGGGAAGGGGAAGAAAACAAACUAGAUAGCAGGCCUGAAUGCCAGGAAUCUCUACAUUUAUAACUGAUCAACAGUACUGCUCUCUCCCGUUUGCUCAAUUUUCACACUGUCUGGAGCUGUGCCUCCAGCUCGUUUGAAUUGUUCUGAAUAUAGAUUACUCUAGAGUGACUAAUUGGUUAUCCUGCAGCUAUGGUCUAUGGUUACACCGCACGUUUAUACAUAGGUAUAUAAUGUAGUCAAAUGUAAAAGUGUCCCUCUAGCACAUCUUUAAAUCAUACUUUUUUCUUCCUAUGCUGAUAGGUCAGGGACUCCCAGCACAACAGCACC